RNAcentral lists this ribosomal RNA (305 nucleotides) under uncultured bacterium. RNAcentral's name for it is "bacterial SSU rRNA". It matches the Rfam family "Bacterial small subunit ribosomal RNA", at positions 334 to 654 of the family's 1533-position model. The record is from RNAcentral.
UUGUCCUACGGGGGGCAGCAGUGGGGAAUAUUGGGCAAUGGACGCAAGUCUGACCCAGCAACGCCGCGUGAAGGAAGAAGGCUUUCGGGUUGUAAACUUCUUUUAAGGGGGAAGAGCAGAAGACGGUACCCCUUGAAUAAGCCACGGCUAACUACGUGCCAGCAGCCGCGGUAAUACGUAGGUGGCAAGCGUUGUCCGGAUUUACUGGGUGUAAAGGGCGUGCAGCCGGAGAGACAAGUCAGCUGUGAAAACUACGGGCUUAACUUGUAGACUGCAGUUGAAACUGGUUUUCUUGAGUGAAGUAG